ACUAGUUGUUCCGUCUCAGGUAUGAAUAAAUUUAUUAUUCGUUUGGUUCUUGUGGGUGUCUUUGUGGGUUUGGUUUUGGUUCUUCGAAGUUGUUUUAUAUAUGAGUUUUUAUAAUUACAUCUGUCAUCACAAUAUUGUAAGAAUCAUAUAUUAUACAUUAAGAUAACUAGGACUGAUACGAACGAGUAUAUAUUAUAAUUAGCGGGCGCACGUGUCGUCCACGUGAAAUUAUUUUUUGUACAAAUCCCUCGGGAACUAUGUAUUUUUCCGGGAAAAUAGCCUAUACGCUGCUCAAUGACCUCCUCUGUCUACCAGUCCCAUUUAAAGCGGUAUACACAGACAAGCAGACAGAUAAAAAGUUUAACAAGCUUGAUUAUGUUUAAAAUGUAGUGUUAUCGCCGCGUUGCAACGACUUAUGGUACGGACGGCUUCAGUGUACUCGUGGCGUUCGAGCCGUCCACAUCUCAUGUUUUGUAAUUCUUUAUGGGUUACUUGGGAUAGGCGGGGAGAGUGACUUGAGUGGAAAAGAGGAGUGUUUGUUAACAGUCAAAGGAUCUUUAACCCUACACACAACAACCACAAGUGCGUGACUUCACUCAAGGUCAUUCUCUGCCAUUCUAGGGUCUUAUUUUGGUUACAGUAUGAUUUGUUAAUUAAGUUGUCCUGACAAAUGUUGUGAAUCAUAACUUUUGUUCGACAUUAGUUUUCUUAUUUUUUUAAUCACCUCUGAGUCUGCUAAAAAUAGCUAUAAGCAUUUGAGAAACCAUUCGGUAGGUAAGGUUUAAUUAACCUUAAUUUGUCAGAACAUAAGUAUUAAGUCAAUGUUUGUGUGUGUACAUUAAUUUAUAUUUUAUGAAUCCAAUUAAGCUGUACAUACGACUAUACAUAUAAAGACUAUGUUGAGUUAAUAACAGUGCAACGUAAGUUUUCAAUAACAUUCAACACAAACAAAACCACUAUAAAGAUGAGGAAAGUUCUACUUUUCGUGCUGGUUCUGGCGGCGACAUCCCUGAGCAUGGCUGGAUAUGUGCAACUAUAUCGUUCUGCCGAUGACCAACAGUAUACAUCGUGGCCGAAGUUACCGGAAGGCCCGCCCGAUUUUUUAAUUAUUGAUAGAAUAGAUUAAUGCAAGCCUGCAAUAGUCAGAUGGACUUCAUUUUAUGAACGCUGAGAGUUUGUUAGUCUACGCUCCUACCAUAUAAGUACGGUAACCAAUUAUGGAGAACUGUGGUGACUUUGGAAGGUAUCGGGUAUGCAGGGUUCAGAUCCUUAACCGUCUAAAGUAUAAUUUUAAUAUUUUCUUCGGUAUGUAGAAAUUGAGUCUCUAGUCGCCAAUCAUUCAACUUUCCAGCAACCUUGUUUAACUCGUAAAAAAUGGUAAAUCCAUCUUCAUCUCAUGCUAGGUAGGCAGUGCUAUUUUACAUCUAUGAAGUGCACGUCACUGUUGGAGGCUGACACGAUUCCUUAUGACAUCUCGAAGAAAGUUUCAAAAGUUACCUACGUUUUACUCAUAGACAAUUGAGGAUGUGGACGCUUAAAAACCGCUACCUUCGAAAUUACCCUGAUGACAUCAUACUUGCUUGCCGUUUACAUCAUACUUAUCUAUUGCAGGAGCAUGGUCUGACAAACUUUUAUCAAAAUGAGGUACGAGUCUAUAUAUCUAUCGCUCUCGUCUAUAUAUCUGUUGCGUUAGAUAUCUAGUCCAGAACUACGUUAUCAACGGUAUUUGAAGCCGGUUCGAUCUGUGAUAUUUAUUCUUUCUGAUUUUGAUGUUUACUUUAUUUCAAAAUAACAAAAAAACAAAGAACUUACUUUCAAUAAAAAAUAUGGGUUUA
Molecule: long non-coding RNA, 1835 nt
Organism: Bicyclus anynana (squinting bush brown)
Lineage: Eukaryota; Metazoa; Arthropoda; Insecta; Lepidoptera; Nymphalidae
Exons: 2
Source: RefSeq, a predicted model, not a curated record